GACGUAGGGUCCAAGCGUUGUCCGGAUUUACUGGGCGUAAAGAGCGCGUAGGCGGUCUGUUAAGUGUAGAGUGAAAUCUCCAGGGCUCAACCCGGAAACUGCUCUGCAUACUGGCAGACUUGAGGGAUGCAGAGGUUUGUGGAAUUCCUGGUGUAACGGUGAAAUGUGUUGAUAUCAGGAGGAACACCCAUGGCGAAGGCAGCAAACUGGGCAGCAUCUGACGCUGAGGCGCGAAAGCGUGGGUAGCAAACAGG
RNAcentral lists this ribosomal RNA (254 nucleotides) under uncultured bacterium. RNAcentral's name for it is "partial 16S ribosomal RNA". It matches the Rfam family "Bacterial small subunit ribosomal RNA", at positions 524 to 776 of the family's 1533-position model. The record is from RNAcentral.